AACAUAGAGGAAAUUCUACAU
RNAcentral lists this microRNA (21 nucleotides) under Pteropus alecto (black flying fox). RNAcentral's name for it is "pal-miR-376c-3p". Its record names the gene pal-miR-376c-3p. The record is from miRBase by way of RNAcentral. Lineage: Eukaryota; Metazoa; Chordata; Mammalia; Chiroptera; Pteropodidae.